CAGUAGCCACGGUAAUACGUGGGGUGCAAGCGUUAAUCGGAAUUACUGGGCGUAAAGCGUGCGCAGGCGGUUAUAUAAGACAGAUGUGAAAUCCCCGGGCUCAACCUGGGAACUGCAUUUGUGACUGUAUAGCUAGAGUACGGCAGAGGGGGAUGGAAUUCCGCGUGUAGCAGUGAAAUGCGUAGAUAUGCGGAGGAACACCGAUGGCGAAGGCAAUCCCCUGGGCCUGUACUGACGCUCAUGCACGAAAGCGUGGGGAGCAAACAGGAUUAGAUACCCCAGUAGUCCCUGUCUCUUAUAC
RNAcentral lists this ribosomal RNA (301 nucleotides) under uncultured bacterium. RNAcentral's name for it is "partial 16S ribosomal RNA". It matches the Rfam family "Bacterial small subunit ribosomal RNA", at positions 509 to 807 of the family's 1533-position model. The record is from RNAcentral.